GGUCCUAUAGUGUAGUGGUUAUCACGUUCGGUUCUGAUCCGAACAACCCCAGUUCGAAUCCGGGUAGGACCU
Non-coding RNA from Lachancea nothofagi CBS 11611, 72 nucleotides. NCBI's taxonomy places the organism in Eukaryota, Fungi, Ascomycota, Saccharomycetes, Saccharomycetales, Saccharomycetaceae. The record is from Rfam.